This 6503-nucleotide long non-coding RNA is filed under the name Panax ginseng (ginseng). RNAcentral describes it as "long non-coding RNA (PGIN_LNC005615)". Lineage: Eukaryota; Viridiplantae; Streptophyta; Magnoliopsida; Apiales; Araliaceae. The record is from RNAcentral.
AGAACAAUACAAGUGGGAGAGAGAGUGGGGGACAAAGUAAUAUCAUGCCCAACAUAUCUCUUUUCAAGUCUAGACAAGUGCCUUGAAGGCACCAGUUGCUCCCUUUACUAUCAUCCAUUCCAAACUCAUUUCAUUUGACCAAAAUUUCUAAGUGAGAAAAGAAGAAAUAAGAGGGAAUAGAGAGGGACUAUUCAGAUGGUGAAGAGAGGGAGAAAAGAAUCAAGCCAUCUUCCAUUCCUUCUUUGCUCACUUAAUACCCUCUAAAUAUUCUAAGUAACAAAGAAUAAGAGAAAAACAAAGAUUUGUGAGUUGAAUAUUGAAUGAGGGAUUCGGAUUUGCUAAGAAGAAGAGGAGCAAAAGCAAGCCUUAAUCAUCCUCAUCAAAGCUUAAGCAAGUGCUCAAGAGGUAAGACUUAAAACCCUAGCUUUCAAUCUUUGUAUCUUUUCAAGUUUUUAUUUUGCUUGAUUGAAAGGGGUUGUUGUGGUUGUUAAUGGUUGAUGAGUAACAUAAAGAUGAUGAUAAAAAUAUGUUAAAAUAUCCAUUAAUGGCUUGCAAAGUGGAACAAAAAUGAACAAGACACAAACUUAUGCGUAAGGAUGGAAAAUGGACUAAUAGUGUGGACUGUUAAGGGCUGUGUUUGGGGCAAUUUUGUUGUGGUGUCUCAAUCCUGAAAAUUAAAUUCUGUAAUGAUGGGUUGUGCUCUUAUGAGUUACGAAAAUAACCCAAUUGGAACGAAGCAAAAAUAAGUUAAAAUGAAUUUAUGGUGAAUGUUUUGGUAAAACAUGUUGAAAAUUGAAAUCUAGUGGGCUGCUGGCCUAAAGGUAAUUUCGGGGUUAUUUAUAUUUCCAGAAAUUUCUGGGUUUUUGGGGGAGUAUAUUAAACUAAAUUAGGAAUCCAUAGCCUCUAGAACGGACUCAUUCCGAGUUCGGACGACCGAGUUAUGACUUGUCAAAGUAAACGCGUCAAAACUGUUUAAUUUGGAAAAUCAGAUUCAGACCUACUGUUUGUAUGAAUUUUCUGAACUUGUGUGUUCUGAAUUUGAAAAUGGUUAAAUCAAAAAAGUUUUAGUCCUGAAAGUAAGCUUCGCGUGGGCUAAAAAAUCGCUUAAAAAUAUUUUGAAACAAAUUAGUUAUGACUUUUCUAAGGAGAGUGCAAAGCUCGGAAAAGUUGAAUAACUCAACUGUCCAAAAUUUUGUGUGACUAUUUUCGGCUAGUUAACAUGUACCAGAAAUUAGGUCCUUUUGUGUGCUGAACGUACACAGUACCAGGAAGUUUCAGUCCAAAAAUAGGUUCAAUUCGACUUCCGAGGCUAGAGUUAUGACCAAAUUAAAUUCUAGGAAUGAAAACUUAAUUAAAACUGAUAACUAUGAAGCUACACAACCCAAAAAAUUAUUUUGAGCAUAAAUGACCUUUUUAAAAAUAGUAAAUAAAGCUAAAAAAUUAUGAGGAAAAUAUUUUGUGCGUAAAAUAAUAUUAACUAAGCAUAGCUUGAAGGGAUAAAACUAAUAAGGUAUCUAAGUGACUUUGAUAAAUAUGUUGGGGUCAAGAAAGUAAGAAAGAAAUAACUAAAGAUCGAUUGAAAAGUUACAUAAUGUAACUUUCCGACUUAUUCACAAUAAAAUUGGAUGACAAGACUAAGGAAGGGUAAUAUGGUCAUCCCUAUAUUAAUAUUAUAAUAUGAUAUAUAUAUAGGAUACUCAAUGAAGAAUGAUAUACGAGGAAUGUUAAGUGAUGAAAUUAAAGAGGUUACGUAAUAGACGUUCGAUGAACGUUUUGGGAUAAGCAAAAACAGAGGCAAGUUCUUUCUGUAACUUAUUGAAUUGUUUGAAUAUGUCAAUAUGUGUGAUUUAGUUGCUCAAUUAUGUGUCAAUGUCCAGUGUUAUGUGAAUUGCAUGUGAGCAUGAUUAAUGUGUGCAUGUUGCGCAACUAUGUGAACAUACUGUUCAGUGUGGAACUGUAAUUAAAUAUAUAGUAUAAAAUAUAUGAAGCAUAUAAAUGCAUAUCAUGAGGUGUAUGAAGCAUAUGUAGACGUAUUGCAUAAGAUUUAUGAUGCAUGUAUAAAAUGCAUAGCAUGAGAAAUAUGAUGUAUGACUAAAAUGCAUAUUAUGUGUGAAACGUGAAGUAUGAAAUGUGAAAACUGUUAGACUUGCUGGGCAUUGCUGGGCAACGUAGUUGCUCACCCUUGCUAUAGAUAAAUGUUUUCCAAUUAAUUAAGCUAGGACGGAUCGAAGGAUUCAAUAAAGUCGGAAUAUGAAAGAUUAAUGAUUGAAGAUGUUUUGUAUUAAUAUUAAUACUUUUAAAUGAUGUAAUAUUCAUUUACAUUAUGUAAUGAUGUAUAAGUAAAGGUCUUAGAGCCUGGGAUUAGAUGAGACAUAAUGUAAUAAUUAAUUUAGAGGUUAUAUUUAUGAUGUUAAGGUAUAGGUGGGAUGAUUAGCACCGUGAAGCACCGAACCCGGGCUUGAAGGCAAACUCAGAGUUUGGGGGCUUUACAUAACAGCUAGGUUGCUGAAAGAGACACAUCAAAGGUGUUAGGUGAGAAAGCAAACUGAUGGAACAUGCAAGCUAAAAAAAAGCUGACACAUAGGUUUAAAAUAUGUCCACAACAGAAAUCCCAGAGUAUCUGAGCAUUAAAUGCACCAAUGGGCAUCUAGCAACGGGAAGAUAUUGAUAAAAAAGAAUGAACUCUAAUAAAAAAGUCAAAGCUCUGUCACGGCCCCAAAUUUGGGUCCCUUGAUCCUCGAACCUGGUAUGUCACGGUACUACCUUCAUUCCAAUAUAUAUAACCUUUGUUCAUAAAGUAAUGAACACAACCUGUCUUUUAUACCAAUUAAUACAUUAUUCCCUUUUAUUCAAAAAAUUGUAACCUUUACAAUUGGUUACUACAUUUGUAGAUUGUUCAUGAUCUAUCUAUACAUCUUAAACUAUAAAAAAUAUGUUUCAUAAUGAGAUAUUAACUUACGAGUAUUCAUUAACUCUCAAUUCAUAUUUAAAAUAUUCUUUUGUGUAGAGUAUUUCAACUCAACAUCUACAAUAUAUAAUAUUAACGUUCAUCAAGCUUAGUUGGAAACUUCGCAAUCAAGUGUUUUGGCAUAAAACCUUAACAUGUAUAAUUACUCUAAAGAAAUUACACCAAUACGUUAGUGUAUUUGUAGUUCUCCCAAAUUCGGGUACCUUUUACCUCGGACCUGGUACAAUACGAUUAAUCAUUUCUAUAACUAAUGCGGAAGAUAUAAACAUAAAUUGUUUAUACAAUAAACUUUUACACAUAAUUCUCAAGGUCUGUAAACUUAACUUAAUACAUGCAUUCAAUAUCCUACACGACUUACAAUGUCAUUCGCAUCAGAAAAUUUAAUAAUUCUAACUGCAUAAUAAUCUAAUUCUGGAAUUUGCCUUUACCUCUGUCUUUAUUCAAGCCUUCGUCUUAAUCUGAAAAUUUUACCAUGAUAUAGCAAGGGUGAGCAACUAUUUUGCCCAGCAAGUUUAAGUACAAGGAAGAUAUAUCAUGAUUGAAAAGGAAUAAGCUUUCAAGUUUUCAACAAUGUAAUAUAAUUGUGAAAGAGCAUGAAUCAAAACUUCAAUAACUGAAUAACUGAAUAAUUAUGUUGAGUGGUCAACAAUGACCAUGAACAAAUUUAGUUGAACCUUAUGGUAAUGAAGGUGAUCAGCCUUUCAUACAUGAUGAACAUAUGCAACAUGCACUAAGUGCGAAUCAAUAAUCAAAGAUGGAAUAAUUAUCAAUAAUUAAACCACUAGCAUUCUGAAAAAUUAUUAACUCGAGUUUGAGUUAGAAAACUUGCAUGUACCGUUGAUUACCGCUAUGCAAUCUAAUUUAAUCUCUUAUGAAAGACCUAUCAUUAAUAAGAUCUAUCCUCCAAUUAGCAUAAUACAUUUUAUCUCACAACACUAUUAUUCAAAUAAUAAAUUAGCUAACAUUUAGCCACAUAAUCAAACGUUGAAUAAUUCUUUAACUCACUAGUAAUAUUAUCGUCAUUUGAUAAUAUUAUUAUCACAUAACCAUCAUCUUAAGUUCUCAUCUAAUAUUAUUAAUCUUUUAAUAAUAUUUUAUUUACUUCUCAAUUUCUUAGUAAUAUCUUAAUCAUUUAUAAAUAUUAUUAAUCAUUUAAUAAUAUUCAAAUCAUUUACUAAUAUUAUUAAUCAUUAUCUAAUAUUAUUAAUCAUGUAAUAAUAUUUUACUUGUUUCAUAAAUAAUAAAUUUCUCAUACAUUUUAAGAUAUAAAUAUUUUACAUCUUGAAGCUUAAACCAUUUAAAUUUUAUUUUAGAAAUAUCUUUUACCUUUACUCGCAAAUUUGGGGUUUAAACAAGCUAAUACAUAGCUUUUAUAGUAAAACUCAACUUACUAUAUUAUUUCUUUAAUUUAAAUAAUCUUUACAUCAGUUUGUCCGUUCAUGAGUCAACACUGACCGUGGCCUCAUAUACAAAUAUUUUAUCCUCCUAGAACAUUCGCUCUAUUUUUCGUUUUACAAAUACUUAUAUAUAUAUAUAUAUAUCAUUUUUAUGAUUUAACACAAUUUUUCAAAGAUUUUACAUUCUUCGUUGCACCACAAAAUAAUUUUAUAGGCAACUAUAGUUUUUAUUUCGCUUAAAUAUGUAAUUUAUAUUUAUUACAUAUUUUUAUUGCUUUAGUUAUGCUUGAAAAGAAGUUUCUCGGCAUAAAAUAUCACUUAUAAUCAAAUCUCGUCCCGUAGGACUUUAUUAGAUUUAUUAUGACUUAUUAUUUUGCCGGAACGCGAUACAGAACGUCGAACGUCAAAAUUGCUCAACGCGCUGACGCUCGACGACGCUCGACGUCGCCCGUUUUUAUGUUCUCACAUACUCUUUUACUCAUUUUUUAACUUUCAAACCACAAGUCCUAUAGCAGUAAAUUUUUGGGCAUUUUAUAGACUUCAUGCCAUAGUAUUUUAAAAAAAAUUCUAACUGCGAAAACCAAUCACGGAAUCGAUCAAAAACAGUGUGUCAAAACCCAAGUAGGCAACCUGCACAGCAGGCACCGGCGGCACCAGCAGGAGCUGGGUGCGCCUGGCCUAGCUGCUGCACGGCUGGUGCUGUCCAGCUGCGGUUGCGCAUUGCAAAAAAGCUAAUUUGCGAUUUUUGUACGCGUUACUCGUAAUUCCGAUUAAUUUGAUUUUUGAAUAUGUUAUACAUGUCAUACCAAAGUAUUUUUAAAAAAUAUCACCCAACAAUUUCGGACCUCUUAGGCAGCCUAAAACAGGCCCCAAACAUGUCCACUCGCAACUGUUUUCAUCUUUUUCCCAGAUUUAUGCUCUUUCGCUAAAACAGUCGUAACUUUUUCGUUUCAAAACAUUUUUGAUCAAUUCUUGAGCCCACGUGAAGCUAACUUCCGGAACUACAACUCUUCCCUGCUGCCUUUUUUCCAGAUUCUAAACAUAUCAGUACAGAAAUUCAUGCAAAGGGACUGAACCGCAUAUGUUUUCCAGUUUUGACUCGGCUACUUUAAAAUAGCAUAACUCUUUACUCCGAAGUCGGAAUUAGUCCAUUUUGGAGUCUAUGGAAAGCUUAUUCAGUGUACUACAACAUACCAAAAGCCCAGAAUUUUUAGAGUACUAUAACUAACCCCGAAUUUUCUGUUUAGGAGCAGCAAUCCACUAGUUUUUCUAAGCUUUAAAAACUGUUUUCAUUUAUCUUCUUUGAUCAAGCUUGUUAACAUCCAAAAUUGUAAGAUCUACACAUAAAACAUCAUUUAACAAAAAGAUCUAAGAUUUUUGAGUUUAGAAUCAUAAGUCCAAUAUUUGAUUUAAAACCACCAAAAUAAAAUGCACUAAACUAGUUUGGGGUUUUUAGAUUUAUACCUUUGUUUGAAGCUAUCUUUCUUCUGUAUAUAAUAUACAUGGAUAGCAUGAGAAAAUUCUUCUUCCUUCUUCCCUCGUGGGCUGCCGGCCACUUCCUUCUCUCUACUUCCUUUCUAUUUCUUUUUCCUUCUCUCUUUCUCUUUCUUUUGGCUAGCUCUCCUCUUCUCUCUCUUCUUGCUUACAAAUCUAGAUAAAUAACUAGAUACAAACCCGCGCGUUGCGGCGGGAUUAUUUAAUUUUUUAAUAAUAAAUAUGUACAUACAAUUAAUAAAUUAAAAUAUAAUAAGAAUAUGAUAGAUUGUUAUCCAGAUUAAUCAACAUGUCCUCAGCAAACCAUAAAAGAAUAACACACAAAUCAGAUUAUGAUAAAUCUGUAGACCAACAAUUGAUUAUGGAUAAUUCCUCCUUGUAACUUAUAUAUCUCUCUCUUGCAGAUUGAAAAGGCUAUAAGAAACCUUGCAGUGGAUAACAACAAUUAUCUCAUAACUCAAUGUUUUUUCCACCAUGUAUGACAUUCAAAUAAUAUACGAUCCAGCAUAGCUCGAACUAUAUCCAAUUCUUGUCUUCAUAUAAGAAUUGACCAUCAAUCUAUCAUAAUCAUUUGAAUGUCGAAAGUCACUGAGGAUCACAAUAACUCGAAAGUCAAUCUAUUUUCUGGAUUCUCAAUGUAGCCC